This is a long non-coding RNA of Camelina sativa (false flax), 808 nucleotides long. RefSeq lists it as uncharacterized. NCBI's taxonomy places the organism in Eukaryota, Viridiplantae, Streptophyta, Magnoliopsida, Brassicales, Brassicaceae. The record is from RefSeq and is a predicted model, not a curated record.
UUUCCCCAAAUUGAAAUCUAGGUUUUUCCGACUCUACCGUCAAGCUCGUCGCCGACCUCCUUUCGCUUCAAUUCCGAUGUCAUAUCUUGGCGAAUAAGUAGAUAGCAUCUAUCGAUUAAGUGUCUUUCUAACUCAAUUUUUAUUUGCUUCAUUCUCUUAUUAUCUCUCUACCCAGAUCCGAGUUUGCGAGAUCUCAAGCUACCUUAACAUUAAAAUCUUCUAGUUUUGCUCUUAAAUCUUUCAACUACUUAAGCUUCAGUGCACAGCGAUUGCAUGAUUUGGGCGAUGAGUCUAAGUCGCUUCCUCUGUGGAGAUAAGACAACUUCAGAGAAUAAGGGCUUGACUAUUCUGAUCUUCAAAGAGCUUUUUUUUUUAUUAUUAUUUCAAGAACAGUUGUUGACUAACCAACCUUGAAGAAUCACGCCUCAAGAGAGCAGAGUUGAAACCAAUGUUCCUUUACAUGGCCAUGGUUGCUCUCCUAAACCAUGGUUCCUUCGCUUGGAUGACAUUAACUGCAGCAUCGAGAAGACCAAUUCAGACACAACUUUGUAAUUAGGGUGAAAUGGGUAAAGACUUUCUUUCGGAAUGACACCAAAGUCUUGGAAAUAAGUAAACAACUCUUUCCAUUCUUAAACUUUUAAAAUGAUUCUUCUGAUGGUUUAUACUACACAUUUUUUUGUAACUAUACAACACAAUUUUACUAGUGCAUGGCCACGCCAAAACUACAUAAUAUGUUUUACCCAAAUUGAAUUUCUAUAUAAUUAAGAGUACUUAUAAGCGUGGGAGAAGAUCUCUAAUACUCUUUAAC